GCAACGGGUGCGGAACACGUACGCAACCUUCCUUUAAGCGGAGAAUAGCCCAGGGAAACUUGGAUUAAUACUCCAUAAGAUUAUGGUGUGGCAUCACACAGUAAUUAAAGCUCCGGCACUUAAAGAUGGGCGUGCGGAUGAUUUAGGAUAGUUGGCGGGGUAACGGCCCACCAGCCUACGAUCAAGGUAACUGGUGUGAGAGCACGACCAGUCACACGGGCACUGAGACACGGGCCCGACUCCUACGGGAGGCAGCAGUAAGGAAUAUUGGUCAAUGGGACGGAAGCCUGAACCAGCCAUGCCGCGUGCAGGAAGACGGCCCUACGGGUUGUAAACUGCUUUUGCAGGGGAAUAAACCUCCCGACGAGUCGGGAGCUGAAUGUACCUUGAGAAUAAGGAAUCGGAUAACUCCGUGCCAGCAGCCGGGUAAUAGG
RNAcentral lists this ribosomal RNA (434 nucleotides) under uncultured bacterium. RNAcentral's name for it is "bacterial SSU rRNA". It matches the Rfam family "Bacterial small subunit ribosomal RNA", at positions 99 to 527 of the family's 1533-position model. The record is from RNAcentral.